AUUUAAGUUAUUAGUGAUUGGAUGCUGCUUAUUUUUGUACAGGUACCCAUUACGUUGUGAAAUUUGUAGAUUUCUUUACUGGAAACUACUUUUCUAUGUAGGCUUCUGCCUUGCAGACUAUUUAUGGGGCCACUGGAAACUGCCUUGGAACUGCUUUCUACUGCUGGUAGCGCAAAAUUUUCAGGGGCUGUCAAAAUAACUUUUUCUGGACUCUGGCAAACUAUAGAUUUACUGGUCAUCUCUGGAUAAUCUUAUAAAGCCACCUUUAGCCUUGACAUUUGUGAAAUUUAUUAUAAAAUUUGACAUUUGAUGAAAAUUGUUUAUGUUAUGGUUUAUAUUGGAUUGAGAUAUCUUCAAGUUUACUCAUCUUCCUGCGAUAUGUAUACCCGAUUAAUCUGUAGACUUUAAGCUUUUAUUUGAUAUAAGUCACUCUAGGUUUAAAUUCGUUUUUCUUUAUGUACUGAUUACUCACAAGUGUUGAUGGCAUUCAUUUUUUUGAACAUUUAUUCUGUACUUGAGAAUAAAUAUACUAUGUAAUAUCAUUGAUCGUUACUAGUU
This is a long non-coding RNA of Anoplophora glabripennis (Asian longhorned beetle), 558 nucleotides long. RefSeq lists it as uncharacterized. Lineage: Eukaryota; Metazoa; Arthropoda; Insecta; Coleoptera; Cerambycidae. The transcript has 3 exons. The record is from RefSeq and is a predicted model, not a curated record.